Molecule: unclassified non-coding RNA, 207 nt
Filed under: Hevea brasiliensis (rubber tree)
Lineage: Eukaryota; Viridiplantae; Streptophyta; Magnoliopsida; Malpighiales; Euphorbiaceae
Source: RNAcentral
GGAGGGUUGAAAGAUUUCUACAAGCAAAGGAAAAACAGUGGAAUCUCCAAGGCCAACAGCAAAGCUUCAAAGCCCUCUUCUAGGAAAACCAAAUCUCCGGCCAACUCUGCAUCUUUGGGCUCCGAUGCCGUCCAACCGGCUGCUCUCCUUUCUCACGGAUCCUUCGACCUUCAAGAUGAUUAUGGAGCGUCUGAGAAUAUGCUGAGG